GUUGAGCUUAAAGGGUUAUGCGUAUGCUGAAAGUUUCAGUUAGUCUUGAAAUGUAACACUUUUUUUCUCUGUUUUAGGUGUUCAUGGAGAUCUAAUUAACGUUACAGGAUUAUGGGCAAGAAUCUCAAGCAUGAAAUCAUUGACCAGAGAAAGUUGGGCAGCUGUUGACAGCUUUCACAACAAAUCAAGACUAAAGAGCCGACUGAUACUAGGUCUCUGAUGCUCAGAGGACUCCCUAUCAUUCAUUUGGCGACAAACCUACAGAUUUCUACAAAGUAUGCUUUGUUGUGGGAUCCAAGAUAAGUACACGCCGGUACCAUUUUGAUGAUGACAUGUGUAAACACGCUCAGGACUGUUUGCCGGGGCUGUGGAUUAAAGGUAAUAAUGCUGUAAAUAAUGUUCAGUUUCUUGCACAGACUGAUUGUUUUGCUUCAUAAGACCUCAAUAUAUCGUCAG
Molecule: long non-coding RNA, 456 nt
Filed under: Sinocyclocheilus grahami
Lineage: Eukaryota; Metazoa; Chordata; Actinopteri; Cypriniformes; Cyprinidae
Description: lncRNA (ENSSGRG00000026528.1)
Source: RNAcentral